GAACGCAUAUUGCGGUCGAGGCUUCGGCCAAGACCAUGUCUGCCUCAGCGUCGGUGUGAACCCUCACUCCCCCUCACGGGUGGAGUGGACCUGGCCUCCUCAGCCCUUGGGCUGGGCUGGCUGAAAUUCGGAGGUUCCCGCUCGGACCUGUAUGGCAACAGCAAGGUAGGUAGUUUACUACUCCGGCUGAUGCUUUGGGCACGUGGCACGAACCCGCAGGAAAUUCUCACCCUUUCGACCUGAGAUCAGGCAAGGCUACCCGCUGAACUUAAG
Molecule: unclassified non-coding RNA, 273 nt
Filed under: Planophila laetevirens
Lineage: Eukaryota; Viridiplantae; Chlorophyta; Ulvophyceae; Ulotrichales; Planophilaceae
Description: sequence contains 5.8S rRNA gene
Source: RNAcentral